GGGGUUGUGGCUCAGCGGUAGAGCCCUUGCCUAGCACAUGCAAGACCCUGGGUUCAAUCCUCAGCACCACA
This 71-nucleotide transfer RNA is filed under the name Marmota monax (woodchuck). Its description in RNAcentral is "tRNA.Ala". Lineage: Eukaryota; Metazoa; Chordata; Mammalia; Rodentia; Sciuridae. The record is from RNAcentral.